Molecule: unclassified non-coding RNA, 584 nt
Filed under: Hevea brasiliensis (rubber tree)
Lineage: Eukaryota; Viridiplantae; Streptophyta; Magnoliopsida; Malpighiales; Euphorbiaceae
Source: RNAcentral
AGGACCUAUGCGAACGGAACCACAUCUUCAUGCGGCUACAAGCGCUUUGCCUGAUUUACCUGAACUUUCUGAUGCAGGGAACAACAGAUCUCUCCAACAAGCAUCUCAUCGAGGAUGGCCAUCUAUUGACGUUGGCUCAGUUCCCCGCGUCAUUAGCCAUCAAGUUGUGCAUCCCAGUGUGAUAGUGCCAACUCGAAAGGAACAGUUCCCGAUAAGUACAUUCUUCGCUCAACAGAAUGUUUUACCAAGCAUGGCAGUUCAAACAUGGGAUAAGCUCAGACUUCCUGCCCCUGCAUGUUCUGGAGAUCUUUUUCCUAUGCUCACUCUAGCUGACUCAAGUGUAAAAGAUGCAGGGAUGCUUGGUGAGACAAAUCUAAGAAUCCCAGAGAAUUCACCAGCUGACCAGCAAAUAGGAGGAAUUAUGAGAAGGUUCGGAAAGCAACCUGUAGUGCAGGAGCACAGAAACCAGCUGGGACUGCAGUAUCCAAAUAAGGUUGGUCUUAGAUCAUAAAGGCUGUCACAAGUAUCUGGCUUAUUUGAAUGUCUUCAAAUUUCUUUUAGCUGUACCAGAAUUGAGGAAACAU